GAGCGGCGGUGGGCGGCUGCCCGUAAGGAGGAAAGUCCCCCCACCGUUUAAAGGCGGACCCCCGUAAGGGGGUACCCCGAGAGGGGUGGCAACGGCACAGAAACGACACCCGCUUGGGGAAAUGCGAUGAUUCCGAAAGGAUGAGGUCACCCAAGCGGGAUGAAACGUGCCGACCCCGCCGGUGCAAGGCCGUAAGGCCGCUUAGACUGAUGCCGCCGAGAAACAGAAGGGGGCUUACUACCGCCACUC
This 249-nucleotide RNase P RNA is filed under the name Archaeoglobus profundus. Its description in RNAcentral is "RNase P RNA component". It matches the Rfam family "Archaeal RNase P". From Rfam's summary of the family: Ribonuclease P (RNase P) is a ubiquitous endoribonuclease, found in archaea, bacteria and eukarya as well as chloroplasts and mitochondria. Its best characterised activity is the generation of mature 5'-ends of tRNAs by cleaving the 5'-leader elements of precursor-tRNAs. Lineage: Archaea; Methanobacteriati; Methanobacteriota; Archaeoglobi; Archaeoglobales; Archaeoglobaceae. The record is from RNAcentral.